GGAUGGAGUCGGAGCCCUGAGCGCCUGCCCCCCGCAGCCCGCCAGCGGAGACCCCGCGGGCCCCCUCGGGUGCGGGAGCCCCUCUCCGCUCCUCUCGCCCCCGGAUGGGACAAGGCGCGGGCGGCGGCUCGCUGGCGAGGCUGAGCGCGCUCCUGGCCGGCGCGGGGCUUGGUCCUCCGCGCCGGGGCGUCUGCGGCGACUCCUCCUCCCUCCCGGAGAGCCGCCGCACCGAGCGCAGGCAGCGGGAGCGAACGGGAGGAGAAGCCCCUGGGGACUUAGGCUAACGGGACUCUGAAACUCCGCGGCAAGAUGACUCCAUGGCUUCCGAACGCAGGAGCUGAGGCUGACGCGGCGGCGGCGAGGAACGCACAGAGAUGCUCACCUGGUCUGACCGCGACCUCGAUUCAUAGAAACAUCAAUAUCCAAGUGACAACAACUGCCUGUUCACCAGUCAUUGCCUGACCUCCUCUACUGAACAGCGAAAAUAACCACUUGAGCCUUUCUUAUGGAGAAUGGGAUUGCAGGAUUGCAGAAAGCUGACCUUGGGGAGAGUGGUGUGAGGUGGGCUGCUGGCUGACACAGAGAAACUAGCAGUGGUGAAAGUUGGUGAUUUUUGGCCAUGCCAAGGGAAGUUUUAGAUUUGGAGGAAUAAAUCUGAAACUUUUUAAUCUGUCAGAACUCUCAAUUUAAAGUGAACCUGGAAACACUUACUGGAAGAAAUAUGAAAACAACAACUUUGUUGGUGAUGAUGAAAGACUAUUUUAAAAGUGGGUGAACGUUCUCCAGGCUACCAUAGAGUGGACAGUGAAAGAACAUUGCACUGAUCUAGGCUUGUGUGUGAAGUGGUACAGAAAGUUAUGAACAUUCAUAUGAAGCAGAAGAUGCAUAUCAUCUGGAUGACUAAAGUGCUAGAGAAUAAAGGAUCAAGGCUCUCAUAGGAUCAGUUGCUUGAAGAGAUAGCAGCUGACAUCUUGCAGUUGAGUUCCUUCCUCUAAUGGCUGCCCUCAGCUAUGGAAAGCUGCAUCUUCUACAGCCGUGACCCCUUGCAGUGUGGGAGUGGGAGGAGUUCAAAUCAAAUGAGUCAUCAGAGCUUGAUUCUGAGAACACUCCCCAGGAAAUUCACUGCAUACAAGCCUCUGCCAUGGAGUCAGCUUACUAGAAUCCACCUCCACAUGACCUGUGACAGAUGUCCCUUGAGAAGUAAAUCUCUCGGCCUCUUGCCAGUUUUACAACCUAAGAAUGUUUUUUCUCAAGGACCUGGGAGCCAUCACUUUGAAAUAUAAUCAUCAAGAAACAUCAGCAUCCCUACUCCCAGUCUCUGUGGUGGGUGAGAGCUCAACUUCAAUAAGCAGAAAUGAGCAAACACAGAUGGUCUAAUCACAUUGGCCAGCCUCCUCCCAAGAGCAUCUAGUACUUCUCCCCUCGCUCCCAGCAGCGCGGAGAACCUGCCUUUCAUUUCAGUGCAGAGUUGAGUUCAGUCUAUCUGGCCUACUGCAGCAGUCUUGAAUAAAGUUUUCCUUUCCUGUUUAA
Non-coding RNA from Microcebus murinus (gray mouse lemur), 1530 nucleotides. NCBI's taxonomy places the organism in Eukaryota, Metazoa, Chordata, Mammalia, Primates, Cheirogaleidae. The record is from RefSeq and is a predicted model, not a curated record.